Molecule: transfer RNA, 87 nt
Filed under: Ligaoa zhengdingensis
Lineage: Bacteria; Bacillati; Bacillota; Clostridia; Eubacteriales; Oscillospiraceae
Description: Clostridiaceae bacterium NSJ-31 tRNA-Leu
Rfam family: tRNA
About the family: Transfer RNA (tRNA) molecules are approximately 80 nucleotides in length.
Source: RNAcentral
GCCGGUAUGAUGGAAUUGGCAGACGUGCUGGACUCAAAAUCCAGUGGUGGCGACACCGUGUCGGUUCGACCCCGACUACCGGCACCA